GGGGCAGUAGCUGAUGAGGUCUUAGCACUGGCUUGAAAACCCAGAGAUGUCGGAUCGUUACCGACCUGCCCCA
Molecule: transfer RNA, 73 nt
Filed under: Stenotrophomonas phage vB_SmaS-DLP_6
Lineage: Duplodnaviria; Heunggongvirae; Uroviricota; Caudoviricetes
Rfam family: tRNA
About the family: Transfer RNA (tRNA) molecules are approximately 80 nucleotides in length. Their secondary structure includes four short double-helical elements and three loops (D, anti-codon, and T loops). Further hydrogen bonds mediate the characteristic L-shaped molecular structure. tRNAs have two regions of fundamental functional importance: the anti-codon, which is responsible for specific mRNA codon recognition, and the 3' end, to which the tRNAs corresponding amino acid is attached (by aminoacyl-tRNA synthetases). tRNAs cope with the degeneracy of the genetic code in two manners: having more than one tRNA (with a specific anti-codon) for a particular amino acid; and 'wobble' base-pairing, i.e. permitting non-standard base-pairing at the 3rd anti-codon position.
Source: Rfam by way of RNAcentral